GAGGGUAUAGCUCAGUGGUGAAGCAUGUGCUUAGCAUACAUGAGGUCCUGGGUUCAACCCCAGUACCUCCA
This 71-nucleotide transfer RNA is filed under the name Camelus bactrianus (Bactrian camel). It matches the Rfam family "tRNA". Rfam says of the family: Transfer RNA (tRNA) molecules are approximately 80 nucleotides in length. RNAcentral also lists the same sequence under 2 other names. The record is from Rfam by way of RNAcentral. Lineage: Eukaryota; Metazoa; Chordata; Mammalia; Artiodactyla; Camelidae.